RNAcentral lists this long non-coding RNA (705 nucleotides) under Phaseolus vulgaris (common bean). RNAcentral describes it as "long non-coding RNA (PVUL_LNC001032)". Lineage: Eukaryota; Viridiplantae; Streptophyta; Magnoliopsida; Fabales; Fabaceae. The record is from RNAcentral.
GUCAUCAAUAUGCUCAACUUCAAGACCAAUGAACCAUGCACCAAGCGAGACAUCUUCAUUAGCAUAUUUAUGCAAAAUAGGCCUGCAGUCAUAAUUAGGAUCCACAUGAAAUUUCUUGAGCAGACAAUAUUCCAUCAUAAUUCUUACUGGUUAUAUAAACAUGGACUGAUCCCUGAGCUGAAAUUUCAUAUCAGUAUCAAUUUAAGUUGUCAUGGAAAAAGUUUCCUGUGUUAAUCAAAGCAUGACUUAGAAAUAGGUCCGAUUCAAUUUAACAAAAUUAAAUUAAUAAACUCUAUUAAGGUUUAUAUCUUCAGUUGAUUUGGGACUAAGCCACCAUCAUUGAGACUGUGAUUAUAUGGCAACUCUUGGAUAGAGGUGACCACAAUAUUUUUUUAAAACUUCCCCUUCGAGCCCAGGGCUACCGGCUUGAAACACGACAAAUGGCAGUGAACCAACAAUGGAUUUAAGAGAGACUUUUAUACCAUCUUAAAAUACAAAUUUAAAGCUUAAUUCACCUUUACAAAACUAUCUUAUAAGAUGAAAGCACCCCAAACUUUUAUAAGUUUUAUUCAAGUCAUGUUUCUAGUCAAUAUGAAACUAAAUUGUCACCUUAGACACUGCAAUUAAGACAGCUUCAAAGAGAACACAACUAAAACGGAAUAGGGUUGAUCACAACUAAGACAGCUUUCCAACAUCAUGCAAAAU